GGGGGCGCCACGGUCUCGACGGGGAUCAUUGAGGUAAGGGCUGCGUACCGAGGUUCCGACUGGGCUCGUAAAAAAAGUCGGAAAAUGAUAAGCGGAAACAGCAACUACGCUUACGCUACUGCAUAGCCAGUAGCCGUUCCGCCGGCCGCCUCCCGUAAGGCCGGGCCGGGGCGUCGACACAACGGGAUAGUCUCCCGCCCACGCUUAUAAGCGGGAAGCGAAACUUAAUAAGCUGGUUCCAUCCGAAUCCUGCCGCUGGGAGUCGGAGGGGACGAGAUUCAAAACAACGGCUACGUACGUAGAUGCUCCUUGCCGAAGGUUUCCGGACGCGGGUUCGACUCCCGCCGCCUCCACCA
RNAcentral lists this transfer-messenger RNA (356 nucleotides) under Deltaproteobacteria bacterium. It matches the Rfam family "transfer-messenger RNA". From Rfam's summary of the family: Bacterial tmRNA, also known as 10Sa RNA or SsrA, is named for its dual tRNA and mRNA-like properties. Lineage: Bacteria; Pseudomonadati; Myxococcota; Myxococcia. The record is from RNAcentral.